This is a long non-coding RNA of Odontomachus brunneus, 389 nucleotides long. RefSeq lists it as uncharacterized. The transcript is spliced from 3 exons. NCBI's taxonomy places the organism in Eukaryota, Metazoa, Arthropoda, Insecta, Hymenoptera, Formicidae. The record is from RefSeq and is a predicted model, not a curated record.
CGAAAACGCGGAAUACAAAAUUUUACUAGAUCCGCUACGCAUUCCACGUCUGUUUUGAUUGCCUUGUAACGCUAUUUGCGUUCAAUGAGGGAUAUGCUGCGAGUCCGGAUUCGUGGCAGUGGUAAUAAAUUGUGAAGCCAGUAGUAUAGGUGGUCUCGACGCCGUUGGUUUAAUGGUCGAAUUUUUCUGCUCGCCGUGCGAGUCUGUGAUGUUUGCUGCUGACGAUUCGGUAACGCCGGGACCGCUGGCAGCCGCGGGACGCGGUCGGUGUUGUGACGCGUCGAUCAGAGGUCUUGCUUGAUAUUUUGCUUGUGCGGAAAUAAGAAUAUGAUUUUUCGCUUCUGUACUAUAUUUUCCAUUAAGGCAUCUAUUGACAGCAGCGCAAAAAU